GAAAUGCGAUAAGUAAUGUGAAUUGCAGAAUUCAGUGAAUCAUCGAAUCUUUGAACGCACAUUGCGCCCGUCAGCAUUCUGGCGGGCAUGCCUGUUCGAGCGUCAUUUCAACCCUCAGGACCCCCCUUUCGCGGGGAGGGACCUGGCGUUGGGGAUCGGCCCGCCCCCCGCGGCGGCGCCGUCCCCGAAAUCUAGUGGCGGUCUCACUGCAGCCUCCCCUGCGUAGUAGUUACAACCUCGCAUCGGAGCGCGGCGCGGCCACGCCGUAAAACCCCCGACUUUCUGAACGUUGACCUCGGAUCAGGUAGGAAUACCCGCUGAACUUAAGC
This 329-nucleotide unclassified non-coding RNA is filed under the name plant metagenome. RNAcentral's name for it is "partial contains 5.8S ribosomal RNA, internal transcribed spacer 2, and large subunit ribosomal RNA". The stretch from base 1 to 105 matches the Rfam family "5.8S ribosomal RNA", at positions 50 to 154 of the family's 154-position model. The record is from RNAcentral.